CAUGGCUCAGAUUGAACGCUGGCGGCAGGCCUAACACAUGCAAGUCGAGCGCGAAAGCACUUCGGUGUGAGUAGAGCGGCGGACGGGUGAGUAACGCGUAGGAAUCUACCUAGUAGUGGGGGACAACUCGGGGAAACUCGAGCUAAUACCGCAUAAGCCCUACGGGGGAAAGCGGGGGACCUUCGGGCCUCGUGCUAUUAGAUGAGCCUGCGUUGGAUUAGCUAGUUGGUGGGGUAAAGGCCUACCAAGGCGACGAUCCAUAGCUGGUCUGAGAGGAUGAUCAGCCACACCGGGACUGAGACACGGCCCGGACUCCUACGGGAGGCAGCAGUGGGGAAUAUUGCGCAAUGGGCGAAAGCCUGGCGCAGCCAUGCCGCGUGUGUGAAGAAGGCCUUCGGGUUGUAAAGCACUUUCAAUUGGGAGGAAAGGUUCACGGCUAAUAACCGUGAGCUGUGACGUUACCUUUAGAAGCAGCCCCGGCUAACUCCGUGCCAGCAGCCGCGGUAAUACGGAGGGUGCGAGCGUUAAUCGGAAUUACUGGGCGUAAAGCGCGCGUAGGUGGUCUGUUAAGUCGGAUGUGAAAGCCCCGGGCUCAACCUGGG
Molecule: ribosomal RNA, 602 nt
Filed under: uncultured Gammaproteobacteria bacterium
Lineage: Bacteria; Pseudomonadati; Pseudomonadota; Gammaproteobacteria
Description: bacterial SSU rRNA
Rfam family: Bacterial small subunit ribosomal RNA
Source: RNAcentral